AGUGAACGCUGGCGGUAGGCCUAACACAUGCAAGUCGAACGGCAGCACAGUAAGAGCUUGCUCUUACGGGUGGCGAGUGGCGGACGGGUGAGGAAUACAUCGGAAUCUACUUUUUCGUGGGGGAUAACGUAGGGAAACUUACGCUAAUACCGCAUACGACCUACGGGUGAAAGCAGGGGAUCUUCGGUCCUUGCGCGAUUGAAUGAGCCGAUGUCGGAUUAGCUAGUUGGCGGGGUAAAGGCCCACCAAGGCGACGAUCCGUAGCUGGUCUGAGAGGAUGAUCAGCCACACUGGAACUGAGACACGGUCCAGACUCCGACGGGAGGCAGCAGUGGGGAAUAUUGGACAAUGGGCGCAAGCCUGAUCCAGCCAUACCGCGUGGGUGAAGAAGGCCUUCGGGUUGUAAAGCCCUUUUGUUGGGAAAGAAAAGCAGCAGGUUAAUACCCCGCUGUUCUGACGGUACCCAAAGAAUAAGCACCGGCUAACUUCGU
RNAcentral lists this ribosomal RNA (491 nucleotides) under uncultured bacterium. RNAcentral describes it as "partial 16S ribosomal RNA". It matches the Rfam family "Bacterial small subunit ribosomal RNA", at positions 29 to 506 of the family's 1533-position model. The record is from RNAcentral.